ACUUGCACAGACACCACCAUGAACAAAGCCAUUACCCACACUGUCUACAGAGGAAAAGAACUUCUUUAAUCAGUUAACAGAGGAGGCUCACUGAUAUAAAAUAACUUUUGCCAGUGCCCUACUGGCAAGUUCUGAUACUAAAUGUGUGUAUUUCCUGUUUAGCACACUAUCGCCUUGGCUACUCACUUUAUAUCUUUCAGAAGCAGUAGCCAAUGUGUGGGUACAAAUAAGGGUGGGGAGAAGUGCUGAGACUUUUUGAGUUCUUAUUUAUAUUUGGUGAAAAUCCUUAUAUGGCAUGUAUUUAUUACUGUAGGCAGUUAGCCUUAUUGGCAAAGCUUAAUAAGAGUCAAAGGAUGUUAAGGACCAUUUGCCAUCAUGGUUGGUUUUGCAUGAACACUCAUCCCCUCCCUGUUGGUGAUGUGACAGCAGGAAGGAAGGAGGGAAGGUGUGCUAUGGGGCCAGGCUCCAAGUUAGAAGCUGAAGGUGGGAAGUAGGGAGCUUUCUGUCUAGGAAAGCCUAUGAGUUUUUCCCUAUUUGUCAGAUUAGAGCAGAGAAAACUGUGAGAUUUAGAUGUUUUUAGUGUUCAUGCUUGCCACCUGUUGCCCACAUGGGGCUCAGAUCCAGUCCUCCAGUGACAUCUUUGCUUUCCUGUCUCACUGCAUCUGUGUAUCCUGGGGUCCACAGAGUCAAAGUGUUCAUGAUGUCUAUUGCUUAGACAUCUGAUGCAACAAGAGUAGUUUCCCUAGGCAACUUGAAAACUCACAGAACUCGAUAUGACUGAGCUCAAGCAUUUGGAGCUCCAAUGCAGCAAUAAAGAGCUCCAGCCACAACUAGUGUUGGCAAGGGAACCAAAAAUAGGCCGUGGACCUCCCUGGUGGCUCAGUGGUGAAGAAUCUGCCUGCCAGUGCAUGAGACAACAUGUUUGGUCCCUGGUCCGGGAGGACCCCGAUGCCUCGGAGCAGCUAAACUCAUGUGCCACAACUGCUGAGCCUGUGCUCUAGAGCUUGGGAGCCACAACUACUGAAGCCUGUGAGCUCUAGAGCUUAUGCUCUGCAAUAAGAGAGGCCAUGACAAUGAGAAGCUCGUGCACUGCAACUAGACAGUGGCCUCCCCUCACCUCAACAAGAGAAAAGUCCACACAAAAAGGAAGACUCAGCACAGCCAAAGAAAUUAAAAAAUAAAUAAAUGGUAAAACAAACA
Molecule: long non-coding RNA, 1200 nt
Filed under: Bos indicus x Bos taurus (hybrid cattle)
Lineage: Eukaryota; Metazoa; Chordata; Mammalia; Artiodactyla; Bovidae
Description: lncRNA (ENSBIXG00000002900.1)
Source: RNAcentral